This 72-nucleotide transfer RNA is filed under the name Stegodyphus mimosarum. It matches the Rfam family "tRNA". From Rfam's summary of the family: Transfer RNA (tRNA) molecules are approximately 80 nucleotides in length. Their secondary structure includes four short double-helical elements and three loops (D, anti-codon, and T loops). Lineage: Eukaryota; Metazoa; Arthropoda; Arachnida; Araneae; Eresidae. The record is from Rfam by way of RNAcentral.
GCCUUCGUGGUGUAGUGGUCAGCACGCUGGGCGCGUAUUCUAGAGGUCCGUGGUUCGAGUCCCGCCAAGGCG